RNAcentral lists this transfer RNA (77 nucleotides) under Methanomassiliicoccaceae archaeon. Its description in RNAcentral is "tRNA-His". It matches the Rfam family "tRNA". Rfam says of the family: Transfer RNA (tRNA) molecules are approximately 80 nucleotides in length. Lineage: Archaea; Methanobacteriati; Thermoplasmatota; Thermoplasmata; Methanomassiliicoccales; Methanomassiliicoccaceae. The record is from RNAcentral.
GCCGGGAUGGGGUAGCUUGGUUAUCCUAGGGGACUGUGGAUCCCUUGACUCGGGUUCAAAUCUCGGUCCCGGCCCCA